This 347-nucleotide unclassified non-coding RNA is filed under the name soil metagenome. RNAcentral describes it as "partial contains 5.8S ribosomal RNA, internal transcribed spacer 2, and large subunit ribosomal RNA". The stretch from base 1 to 120 matches the Rfam family "5.8S ribosomal RNA", at positions 35 to 154 of the family's 154-position model. The record is from RNAcentral.
GAUGAAGAACGCAGCGAAAUGCGAUAAGUAAUGUGAAUUGCAGAAUUCAGUGAAUCAUCGAAUCUUUGAACGCACAUUGCGCCCGCCAGUAUUCUGGCGGGCAUGCCUGUCCGAGCGUCAUUUCAACCCUCGAACCCCUCCGGGGGGUCGGCGUUGGGGAUCGGCACUUACCUGCCGGCCCCGAAAUACAGUGGCGGUCUCGCCGCAGCCUCUCCUGCGCAGUAGUUUGCACACUCGCACCGGGAGCGCGGCGCGUCCACGGCCGUAAAACAACCCAAACUUCUGAAAUGUUGACCUCGGAUCAGGUAGGAAUACCCGCUGAACUUAAGCAUAUCAAUAAGCGGAGA